CAAUGCCAUCAUUAAACCAGAGAAAAAGAAGAAGAGGUUGAGAAUAAACCCACUCAUUUACAAGAAAAAAUUUCCGGGACAAUUUUCUGACUUGGGCCCUCACAUAAACAUAGCUGCGCUCGCACCUACACUCACAUACGGCCGACAGUUACAGUGAUAGAAUAUAUCGCCUCUGCUUCUUUCUACCCCAUCACUCACUGAACUCUCUUUCUCUCUCUGUUUUCGCGAUCGAAGUGAGCUGCAGUUGUAUCGUUUCAGCUAAGUGGGAAGAUAUGGAUUCGUCAGUGGUGCUAUAUAACCAGCUCAAGCAGGCAGCAGAACCAUUUUUCUUGCUAGCCGGUCCCAAUGUGAUCGAAUCUGAGGAGCACAUUUUCCGAAUGGCCAAGCACAUCAAGAGUGUUGCAACGAAAGUUGGAUUGUCGCUGGUUUUCAAGUCAAGCUUUGACAAGGCCAACCGUACGUCCUCAAAAUCAUUCCGGGGUCCUGGCUUGGAGGAAGGCUUAAAGAUCCUUGAGAAGGUCAAAACAGCAUUUGAUCUCCCUAUCAUUACAGAUGUACAUGAAGCUAGCCAGUGUGAAGCAGUUGGUAGAGUUGCAGAUAUUAUACAGAUUCCUGCAUUUUUAUGCCGCCAGACAGAUCUUCUAGUUGCAGCAGCCAAGACUGGAAAAAUUAUCAAUAUUAAGAAGGGCCAGUUCUGUGCUCCUUCUGUCAUGGUAAAUUCAGCUGAGAAGGUUAGACUGGCUGGAAACCCAAAUGUGAUGGUUUGUGAGAGGGGAACUAUGUUUGGCUAUAAUGAUUUAAUUGUUGAUCCCCGCAAUUUGGAGUGGAUCAGAGAAGCUAAUUGUCCUGUCUUGGAGGAUGGAGGUGUUGCCAGUGGUGGUCUUCGUGAAUUAAUACCAUGCAUUGCAAGAACAGCAGUUGCUGUUGGAGUGGAUGGAAUUUUCAUGGAGGUACAUGAUAAUCCUUCUAAUGCGCCAGUUGAUGGUCCAACUCAAUGGCCCUUGCGCCACUUGGAGGAACUGUUGGUAGAGCUCAUAGCAAUUGCUAGGGUAAGCAAGGGGAAGCAACGUUUCAACAUUGAUCUCACACCCUAUCGCGAUUAGAAGAGUUGAAGCUACUCUAUUGGUAUUUAUUUGCGUUCAAGUAUUAUAAUGUUAAAGAGAGAACUAGAUUUGUAGGGGAAGGGGAGUGACAUUCUACCACAGCCUCCUGCAUUCGAUGAGACGGUGAACAAACUUUCGACCGUCAAAUAACAGAUGUUGGUGGAGAUUUUUUGAGGAUGUGUUUGCACUAAGUGGUAAAUUUGGUUCUUAAAGUAGUAGUAUGCCACGACUGUUGGCGCUUAAAGUGGUAGUGUUGACGCAUGGAGAAGUAACAUUGUGCUGAAAUACAAUUUACCACCUGAGGAAGCACUGUAAUACUCAAAUGUGAAAAUGUUACUGAAGAGUGCUUGAAAACUCUCAACCGUCCCAAUUCUUCUCUUGCUCCUUUCACUCCAUCAAACAUAGGAGAAGUUUGGAACAUGACUAGUUGGACUAACAAUAUCCAAUCGUUACAAGGUCGAUUGAGGUUUCAUAUUCGACUAUGCAUAUAUAUAGCUAAUAAGAUUUCAAUUUAACUUACAUAAAUGACUCGUGAAAGUGUAAACGUUAAUUUCUGCAGAGAACAAAAAAAAAAAAAAAAAAAAAAAAAAAAAAAAAAAAAAAAAGUUAAAAAAAAGGGGCUUUGAGCCUUUGAGUUAAAUACCAAAUUUGCCCUUUAAAAAACCAUAAAACCUCAAUUUCAUAACACGUAUUUCGCAAAGCCCUAAUUCUUACAAAUCAGAAAACCUUCACCGCAGCGCGGCCAAGCCUCGUCGUCGUCUGCUCCAAAAAAAAAAAAAAACAAAAAUCCAAAACCUUUUACUCGGUCCAAAAACUUCGCCGGCACCGGUUAUGGCGUAGUCCACCCGAAACUCGCCGGCCGCCUCCGGUUCAUGGACUAUCUCGACGAGGAGCAGAGGCGCGCCAUCACCAUGAAAAGCUCCUCCAUUGCCCUCCACUACAAAGACCACUCCAUCAACCUCAUCGACUCCCCGGGCCACAUGGACUUCUGCAGCGAGGUCUCCACCGCUGCCCGAUUGAGCGACGGCGCUCUGUUUCUGGUCGAGGGCGUCCACAUCCAGACCCACGCCGCGUUGCGCCAGGCCUGGAUUGAGGAGCUGACGCCGUGCUUGGUGCUGAACAAGAUCGACCGGCUGAUCUCGGAGCUGAAAUUGAGCCCCAUGGAAGCUUACACGAGGUUAGUGCGUAUUGUUCAUGAGGUUAAUUGGAUUGUUAGUGCGUAUAAGAGCGAGAAAUAUUUGUCCGACGUGGAUGCUAUACUUUCCGGGCCGGCUGUUGAUGUGGGUGGUGAUCAAAAUCUGAGCCUUUUGGAUGUGGAGGACGAUGAGGAAGAUACGUUUUAACCCCAGAAGGAGAAUGUUGCGUUUGUGUGUGCUUUGGACGGUUGGGGUUUCUGCAUUAAUGAGUUUGCUGAGAUUUACUCUUCGAAAUUUGGGGUGAGUGCGGCUGCAUUGACAAAGGCUUUGUGGGGACCGAGGUACGUUAAUCCGAAAACCAAGAUGAUUGUGGGGAAGAAGGGUGUAGCUGGUGUGAAAAAUGCUAGGCCAAUGUUUGUUCAGUUUGUGCUUGAGCCGCUUUGGCAGGUAUAUCAGGCGGCUUUGGAUGAGGAUGGCGGUGGGAAAGUGAUGCUUGAGAAAGUUAUCGAGUCUUUUAAUUUGAAUGUGCCGCCCGUGAGCUUCAGAACAAGGAUCAGAAGGUUGUGCUUCAAGAUGUGAUGAGUCGUUGGCUUCAGCUUUCUGAUGCUGUGUUGUCAAUGGUGGUUAGGUGUAUGCCUGACCCGGUUGCGGCACAGGCGUUUAGGAUAGGGCGGUUGCUUCCAAAGAGGCAGGUUAUGAGUUAUGGGGUUGAUUCCGAUGCACUUGCAGAGGCGGAGCUUGUGAGGAAAUCGGUUGAAGCUUGCAAUUCAAGCCCUCAAGCUCCCUGUGUUGCUUUUGUAUCCAAAAUGUUUGCUGUCCCAAUGAAAGUACUUCCACAGAGGGGAUUAGAUGGGGAAAUUGAAAACAACGUAAGUGAUGAGGGUGAAUUGAAUGAGGGCUUUCUUGCAUUUGCAAGGAUAUUUAGUGGGGUUCUUUAUUCAGGACAGAAAAUUUAUGUGCUUUCAGCUUUGUAUGAUCCAUUAAAAGGGGAGUCGGUGAAGAAGCAUAUGCAGGUGGCUGAGUUGAAAUCUCUAUAUCUCAUGAUGGGCCAAGGAUUAACACAUGUGGCCUCUGCCCAUGCCAGGAAUCUUGUAGCAAUUUGAGGCCUUGGCCAACAUAUACUGAAAAGUUUAACACCUUCAUCGACGAAAAACUGUUGGCCUUUCUCCAGUAUGGCAUUUCAGAUUGCUUCUACUCUAAGAGUCGCAAAUGAGCCAACUCAUCCUGCAGAUAUGGAUGCACUGACUAAGGGUUUGCGGCUGUUGAACCGGGCUGACCCGUUUGUUGGGGUAACAGUUUCUGAUGGGGGAGAAAAUGUUGUGUCUGCUGCAGGAGAGGUACAUCUUGAAAGAUGCGUAAAAGAUUUGAAGGAGAGAUUUGCAAGGGUAAGCCUGGAAGUGUCUCCACCUCUUGUGUCUUAUAAAGAGACCUUUGAGGGUAAUGUAGGUGAUAAACUUGAGAAUUUGAAAUUCUUUCGUUCAACCUCAGAUUGUGUUGAGAAAAAGACAGCAAACGGUAGGUGUACGAUAAAGGUGCAUGUCAUAAAGCUCCCUCCUUUAACUAAAGUGCUUGAAGAUAGUUCUGAUUUACUUGGAGAUAUCCUUGGAGGUAGGGCUUCCCAGAUCAAUAAAAGUUUUGACACAGAGAUUUCAACGGUUGCAGAAGACGAGAACCCGAUUGAAGCACUGAAGAAACGUAUCACGGAUGCUGUGGAGAGUGAUAUUCUGUCUAGUGGGGAUGCCGACAAGGAUAGGGUUGAGAAAUGUAAACUAAAGUGGCAAAAACUACUUAAAGGGAUAUGGGCACUUGGCCCUUCGCAAGUAGGUCCUAAUAUCCUCCUUACUCAGUUACUCCAGACCUCAAAGGAAAGGGUUCGGACGGCUCUGUCCUCAUCUGUGGCUCCUCUCACGUAUCUCAAAAAUUAGGAUUCGUCGAUGCUUCUGGCAGUGGCAAUAUAGCUGCUGAUACAUCUUCAGAAGUAGCUCAGGCAUUGUCAGUUGAGGCAGAAAACCUUGAAAGCAGUGUUGUAUCUGGGUUUCAAGUGGCGACAGCAGCUGGACCUUUAUGUGAUGAACCUAUGCGGGGUUUAGCAUUUAUUAUUGAGGCUAAAACUGAACCGUUGACUGCUCAGUCUGAUGAAGGGGAAGCCUGCCACCACCAACGUGAGCAAUGUGGUAUCUUCAGAGGACAGGUAAUGAGUCUAAUGACAACCAUCAAAGAUGCUUGUAGAGAAGCCGUGCUUCAAAAGAAGCCUCGGCUUGUGGAAGCCAUGUACUUCUGUGAGUUGAACACGUCAACUGAGCAUUUGGGUUCUAUGUACGCUGUGCUUGGGCGAAGGCGGGCUAGAGUUUUAAAGGAGGAAAUGCAGGAAGGCUCCCCAUUGUUCACUGUGCAUGCAUAUGUGCCUGUUUCUGAAAGGUUUGGUUUUGCGGAUGAGCUUAGAAGAUGGACUGCUGGUGCUGCAAGUGCUCUUCUUGUGCUUAGUCACUGGGAAGCACUUCCAGAGGAUCCUUUCUUUGUACCAAAAACAGAAGAAGAACUAGAGGAGUUUGGUGACGGUUCUAGUGUGCUUCCCAAUAACGCGAGGAAACUAAUUAAUGCUGUAAGAUGGAAGAAGGGGCUUCCUGUAGAGGAAAAAGUAGUACAGCAUGCGACCAAGCAGAUGACCCUGGCUCGUAAAGUGUAGAGGAUGUUGAUAUACUUUAGCUUUAGAGUUAGGGCCAAUUGUGGUGAGUGAUUUACUUCCUUCUGUGGAAAUGUAGAGGCUGUUGAUAUAGUUGUAAUUAACUGGCUAUAGCUUAAUAUCUUCUGGCAAAGUGGCAAUGCUGCUAUAGGUUGAGACUAAGUUGGUUGCGAAAGUGGCUCGCAAUCGCAGUUUUCGUAUGUUGCUGUGGCUGGAUAACAAUUUUGAUGGCUCGACAGAAAUUGAAAUUUUGAAUGGAAAGAUUUAGGUUGCUGUAGGAGGAUGUUAAUUUGAAAGAAAGGAUUCGAUGUUUUCUUUUGA
This is an RNA transcript of Pyrus x bretschneideri (Chinese white pear), 5243 nucleotides long. It is a transcript of the gene named 2-dehydro-3-deoxyphosphooctonate aldolase-like, with no coding region annotated. The record is from RefSeq and is a predicted model, not a curated record. The transcript is spliced from 15 exons. Lineage: Eukaryota; Viridiplantae; Streptophyta; Magnoliopsida; Rosales; Rosaceae.